Molecule: long non-coding RNA, 420 nt
Organism: Stomoxys calcitrans (stable fly)
Lineage: Eukaryota; Metazoa; Arthropoda; Insecta; Diptera; Muscidae
Exons: 2
Source: RefSeq, a predicted model, not a curated record
UUUUGGUAUAUUUUCGUCAUCUAAUAAAUCAAAUUUAAUGAUAAUUUUCACAAUGAAAAUUAUUGUCAAAUAAUCUCCAAAAGCAAAUUCUCUAGAAAACUUUUUCAUUCAACUAGCCCAAGGUGUCCACUAAUUGAUGCUAAAUGCCCUAACGGCAAACAUAUCAAAUAUGUUUCCUAUUUCUACGAAAAUCAACGCUGCUUGCUAUUGACUGAUAGAUUUCGACUCUUAAUCGCUAGGAGCUCUGUACUCGUAUUUAUCAGGGUGAUCAUUUCUGCGUUUUAAAAUUGUGUUUCCGAGUCCUGAAAAUUUUUCGGAUCAUUGUCGAUGUAAUUCAAAUAAUUUUUAAUCAAAUAUGUAUUACUAAAUAUUCUUUGAAUAUUAUAUUUCUAUUAUUCAAUAAAAAUAAUACAACCAGAA